This 3115-nucleotide long non-coding RNA is filed under the name Sus scrofa (pig). RNAcentral's name for it is "lncRNA (ENSSSCG00000056546.1)". Lineage: Eukaryota; Metazoa; Chordata; Mammalia; Artiodactyla; Suidae. The record is from RNAcentral.
UCGUGGCUCAGGGGUAACAAACUCAACUAGUACCCAUAGGAUGUGGGUUUGAUCCCUGGUCUCACUCAGUGGGUUGAGGAUCUGGCAUUGCCAUGAGCUGUGGUGUAGUCUCAGACGAGGCUCGGAUCCCCCCGUUACUGUGGCUGUGGUGUAGCUCAGCAGUUACAGCUCUGAUUUGACCCCUGGCCUGGGAACUUCCAUUUGCCACACACAGCAGCUCAGGAAAAGAAAAAAGAAAAGAAAAGAAAAGAAAAGAAAAAAAAGGACAAUAAAUAAAUAAAUAAAUAAAUAAAUAAAUAAGAGAGCCUUUAUAUUCAAAGUUUGUAUUACACAGGGAGAAACGUGGUACGGUGCAGAAGAUAUGCUGAAGACUUAUCCUCCCCCUAGAUAUUUUUCUCUCUCCUCUGCUACAGAUGCUAACAUCAUAUCAUUAUAGAUAAUUUUUGUUCUAACCUCCUUUAGAAUGCAAAUACUGCUUGGGAAGGGGUAUGCCUUAAUAAGAUUUUAUACCUGGCUAUGCAGAAGCCAAGAAAGAGUAGCUUAGGGGAUGAAAAGGGCCUUUAAGGUGACCUACAAAAAGACAAAAUUUUGCCUGCUUUAAACUUGGUCUCUUUGUUAAUUUAGCAAUCAGAAAACAACCAAUCAAGCAACACACACACACACACACACACACACACACACACACACUCUAUGUUGGAAGUUGGAAAGAGGUAAUUAGUGAAGCCUUAGAGAAAAUAGACAAAUCAACUUCGUAAUUAAGCCAGAGCAGAGGAGGAAAAGGAAGUAUUACAGCUUAUGCUAAGAUAUGCAAAAAUUCUUUGUAUAAUUUUAGAUGUCAUGAUAUAGGAGAUUAUAGGGAUAAAGCCACAGAGAAGCAAAGUCAUGUUGUUCGUAUGCACUUCCUUUCUUUGCCAGCUGUCUUUACAAUAGUUGACAUUUGGUUCAGUCCCUUUCUCUCUUACGUUUGCAAUGUUCUUACCUAUAGUCAUCUCUCAUCACUAGUGACCCACAAGUAUGGCCUGAGUCAAUAGCUCAUGAGUAUUCUGCUCACCCUCCACCUCUCAGAGAGAUAUUUGAGAACUCUAUCAGAGAGAAGCAACAGUUCCCUGCCUUUAUGCUGUUAAAACAAUUUAUUCAUGCCUGUAGAAAGGCACUUAUCAAAUUGCAUCAAAUUAUUUUUUCUCAUAUAUAUCCUUCUCUAUCUCUAUAACAUCAGCCCUUAGAGGUCUGCAAAAUCAUUUCUUCACUUGUGCAUUCCCAGAACUAAUAGAGAGAGCUCAUAACAGGUUUUUAGAAAAGAAUUGCUGAAGGAAUUAAUAUUAUGAUUAUUACAAUUUUUAGUCUGUCAAUUUCUUUAUAACUACUUUUUAUAUUCCUACAUCACUAGCUCACUUUUCUUUCCAGCUUAUCAGCAAUUUAUAUCUUUUAUUACAUAUACACUAUUUAUUUCAUUCUAGGUUAUUGUUAUGCCUAUAGAAUACUUUUUUGCUUCAUAUGAAUAACUCUGUAAUUCUGAUUAAUUCUACUUUUCACAUCUGUAUGUUAUUAACCUUUCAUUUCUUUAUUUAAUGUCCAUAACUUCUAAUUUAAUUUGUUUCAUAGAAACUCUAUUAGAGAUUUAUUUUACUAUUUUUUAUCACCUUUCUCUGACUCAUCAACCCUCUAAUAAAAUUAUUUUCCAGAAUUCCAAAUAAAUCUUCCUUCUGUCAAAAAAGUGUCUUGAACAAAUUCCAUUUUAUCCUUACCUAUCCUCUAGUUCAUCAUGACAGAAUGAUAUUCUUAUAUUCUUCAAAAAAGACAUGGUGGUAUAAGAAAUGUCCUACUCUUGUUUUGAAGAUUUAAUAAGUAAAACUUCAUUAUAGAAAAUAAGUAGCAAAUAAAUGUUUCCCAGUUCUGAAGGAAUUUUUUGUAAAGUUAAUUAUCUCCAAAUAUUAGCUCUUUAUUCAUUCAUUGAAAAUACACUUAUUAUGAACCUAGACAUGUAUAAUUAGACAUGCAUAAUUACACAUAGAUAUAUUUUUAGUAGAUAGACGAGUUUAAAAAAUACUUAUUCAAAUAGAUCCCUCUUAAAGAAUUAGAAAUUUAAAUAAAACUCAGUUUAGUGGUAUCACUGAUGUGAUAUCAAUGUUUGAUAUUCAGAGAAUUUCUCUGAGCAAGGGUAUCUAGCUUCAUUUUUAAAUCAUCGCUUUUUAAAAAUAAGUUUUCCUUCCCCAUUUUAUCUGCAUAGAACUUUCAUUUACCCUAGGAAAACCCACAUUUCCCCUUCCCAUAUAAAACCUUUAAGUUGUAUUUCUCCAGAUUCACACCUCGAUUCACUGUUUGUUUCAAAUGUUUUGUCCCAGUGUUGAUUCAGGAUACAUCUCAGAUUGUCUAAUCAUAUACAUAAUAGAAGGUUUCUUCUGAAUGCCACUACUUCCUUUUAUAACUUACCAGUAUUCUGAGAUAUUGCAAGGAGAGUCGGAGGGUGGAGAGGUUCUCCAUGCAGGACAGGCCUAGAGCAAAAUCCUGGGGCAAAAUCUGGCAUCAUUCCUCCCAGUGACCAACAGGCCAUAUAAUGGCAGCUCUUGAAUGAAACUCCUCUCAGUUGCAACAGGCUGGACAGCUAGAUAUUUCAAACACUCAGGAUUAAUCCAUAGGGUUUAUGUAAGGGUCUACUAUCCUUCCCCUAUUUCUUCACCUCAGGGACUCUCAACAACAAUUAUAAAAGAGUCAGGAGUUUCUAAAGAGUCAGUGGGGUAGAGUCAGGUCAACGCAAAUAUUUUUAUUACUUUAAUUUAAUUCUUGUGGUGAAAUGUAUCUAACAUAACAUUCACUAUGAGUAACAUUCUGUACAUUCACAAUAUUAUGAAACCAUUGCCACCACCUAAUUCCAGAACAUCACCUCAAAAGGAAGCCUCAUGGAGUUCCUGUCAUGGCUCAGCGCUUAGUGAACCUGACUAGCAUCUAUGAGGAUGUGGGUUUGAUCCCUGGCCUCCUUCAGUGGGUUAAGGAUCCGGCAUGGCCAUGAGCUGGGGUGUAGGUUGCAGAUACGGCUCAGAUCCUGCAUUGCGGUGGCUGUGGCGUAGGCUGGCAGCUACAGUGCUGAUUAGACCCCUAGCCUGGGAACCUCCAUAUG